RNAcentral lists this ribosomal RNA (497 nucleotides) under uncultured bacterium. RNAcentral's name for it is "partial 16S ribosomal RNA". It matches the Rfam family "Bacterial small subunit ribosomal RNA", at positions 28 to 507 of the family's 1533-position model. The record is from RNAcentral.
GAUGAACGCUGGCGGCGUGCCUAAUACAUGCAAGUCGAGCGAACAGACGAGGAGCUUGCUCCUCUGACGUUAGCGGCGGACGGGUGAGUAACACGUGGAUAACCUACCUAUAAGACUGGGAUAACUUCGGGAAACCGGAGCUAAUACCGGAUAAUAUAUUGAACCGCAUGGUUCAAUAGUGAAAGACGGUUUUGCUGUCACUUAUAGAUGGAUCCGCGCCGCAUUAGCUAGUUGGUAAGGUAACGGCUUACCAAGGCAACGAUGCGUAGCCGACCUGAGAGGGGGAUCGGCCACACGGGAGCUGAGACGGGGUCCAGACGCCUGCGGGAGGCAGCAGUAGGGAAUCUUCCGCAAUGGGGGAAAGCCUGACGGAGCAAGGCCGAGUGAGUGAUAAAGGUCUUCGGAUCGUAAAACUCUGUUAUUAGGGAAGAACAAAUGUGUAAGUACCUGUGCACGUCUUGACGGUACCUAAUCAAAAAGCAACGGCUAACUACGUG